GAGGGUGUAGCUCAGUGGCAGAGCAUGUGCUUAGUGUGCACGAGGUCCUGGGUUCAAGCCCCAGUUCCUCCA
RNAcentral lists this transfer RNA (72 nucleotides) under Camelus bactrianus (Bactrian camel). It matches the Rfam family "tRNA". Rfam says of the family: Transfer RNA (tRNA) molecules are approximately 80 nucleotides in length. Lineage: Eukaryota; Metazoa; Chordata; Mammalia; Artiodactyla; Camelidae. RNAcentral also lists the same sequence under 1 other name. The record is from Rfam by way of RNAcentral.